GUAAGCUGUAACCCAGCACCUGGCCCGAGAGCAGCCUCUGGCUCUUGAGGUUAUGGCUAAUCCUCCCCACAGCCUGGACACUGCUGUGCCGCUCCGUCUUACGCAGGAGGAGACCUUCGCGGCAGGACCUGGUUACCUGCCCAAGGUCAUACAAGCUGAAAGUGGCCAAGCCAAGAUUUGAACCAGGUUUAUCUGGGUCCAAAGCCAUUGCUUCUGGGAGCCGAGUGAGAGAGCCGGGUCUGUGACGCUGUGGGAACUCGCACACCCUCUUGUCAGGCCUGGGAAGGUGUCGUGGAAUGUGGAAGGGGUCUAGUCUUGGAGUUGGG
RNAcentral lists this long non-coding RNA (326 nucleotides) under Equus asinus (donkey). RNAcentral's name for it is "lncRNA (ENSEASG00005026106.1)". The record is from RNAcentral. Lineage: Eukaryota; Metazoa; Chordata; Mammalia; Perissodactyla; Equidae.